RNAcentral lists this transfer RNA (74 nucleotides) under Ignavibacteriota bacterium. RNAcentral describes it as "Ignavibacteriae bacterium tRNA-Trp". It matches the Rfam family "tRNA". Rfam says of the family: Transfer RNA (tRNA) molecules are approximately 80 nucleotides in length. Their secondary structure includes four short double-helical elements and three loops (D, anti-codon, and T loops). Lineage: Bacteria; Pseudomonadati; Ignavibacteriota. The record is from RNAcentral.
ACGUCUGUGGCCGAACGGUCAGGCAUUGGUCUCCAAAACCAACUACAGGGGUUCGACUCCUCUCAGACGUGCAA